UCUCUCGACACUUUCCCUUUCAGACUGACUCACCCUCUCUACUCUCACGUCCCCCAUAUCUCCUCCGUGUGCACCAACACAAUUGCAUGUCGUCGACACUCCGGCGAACCUCACCACCACCAACGACCACCACCACACCUCGCACUUCCCUUUUUCCUCCUGAUCCUAAACUCUCGAUGUUCUUUCCCCCUUUGUGCUCGCUGCACAUGAACACCGAGGAGAACCCAGUGAGUUCAUGGUGUCUCCGACGUUGAACCACAUAUGGGAAGAACUUCCCCAGUUUUCGGCGAUAAACCCGACGGCAUUAAGCCAUUUUUCGGCCACAACAGGACCUCGUGCUGGUACGAUUAGCAUCAGCAAUCCGUAUCUACUCGUCUGAACGACUACGACUUACAAGUAUCUGUGAGUGGGUCUUUUCUUAUAUAUAUAUAUAUAACGAAUUUUCUAGGUGAUGGGUAAUGAAAUUAACAUUUAUACGAAAUGUCGUAAUGAUGAGAAUUAGGAAAUCAUUAUAAAUCCUACGGGAUGACCUUAAUUAGAUUGACGGCUAUGAAUAAUAUUAUGUUGACUCGAAUUAUUGUGGCAUGACUAUAUUUACGUUAUCUGCUCAUCGUGUGCUACACUGGUGUUAGUACUCGCCUGGGCCAGGGCUAGCCUUCAAUUGUAUGUUCACAUCGCACCAUACACUCACUUUGGAUCCAUUGUAGGUGCAAGUCA
This is a long non-coding RNA of Malus domestica (apple), 717 nucleotides long. RefSeq lists it as uncharacterized. Lineage: Eukaryota; Viridiplantae; Streptophyta; Magnoliopsida; Rosales; Rosaceae. The record is from RefSeq and is a predicted model, not a curated record.